UCCAAAGCGAUACCGUGCUUGCCCGGUCACUGUGGCCGACUGGGGCCUCAAAGAACCACUCUGGUACCAGCGACCAUUGCCCUUUUGGAGUCUCCACACGCCCCCUUGUGGCCACUGCGCGCCCCUGCAGCUUCUGUCGCUCGGGUCACAGUCCCCGUUAUCCCGGCCACACCCGGGGGUGCCGGAGACAGAUGUGGCCCGGCGGGAGGCCCGGUCAGCCUUCCUCCCAGAGGCAGGUCUGGGCUGACUGAAGCACCAUCCGGUCGACCGGGUGCGUCCGGGGCUCCAGACACAGGUGGAGGCGGCGGCAGCGCGGGAGGAGUCGCGGGACGACCUCUGCCCCUCCCCUCCAGAACCGAAAUCCGGGACGGCCGGCGCCCGCGGGGCCUAAGAAGUGCCUGACGCCUGCCUGGCGGUCGUUCCCCAGUUUCCCGGGAGGAUCGGUGGGAGGCCGCGCAGAAGAUGCCCCUGCCUUCCAAAGAACCCAGCCACACAUCCAAGGGCUGGCCCACGUCGGGGCACCUGGCUCUUCUCCGGCAGCUAAGCUCAAAGUCAUCCUGUCUGAUCCACAGGGCCUCACCUGAAUAGGCUUCUGGGGGACCCAGCCCACCCAUUCUCCACGUCCAAACACAUCUGACCCCUGUGGGGAUCCCCGAGUGGGGAUCGCUGGUCCACCUAACAAGAGAGGCCAUUAGGAAUGCAGCGGUGACAGCCGCCUUCUCGUCCGCCGCCUGAGGCAGAAGAUCCAGGCUCAAGCACUGGGGAAAGGAUGGCUCUACUCCGAAGAGAACAAUAAAUUGACAUCAGAUCAUUUUCCAACAGCUUUUCCCACUUCUUCACAUUUGCCACAUUGCAUUCUACAUUCCAAUUUCCAAAGGGACAGGAGCAUGAAUAAUAUAAGAGAGAGAAAAAAAAAUUAACUGGAAUCAAGAACUUUAUCAUUUUCAAGCAUGAGAUUUAUGGCUGAGCAUCAGGUAUGGCUUUUACCCAAAAUGUUCUCCUCAAGAUACCAGGGAAACCAGACCUGCACGGACAUAGUGAUGUUGCAAUAAAUUGAGUUAAAGUCA
This is a long non-coding RNA of Herpailurus yagouaroundi (jaguarundi), 1067 nucleotides long. RefSeq lists it as uncharacterized. NCBI's taxonomy places the organism in Eukaryota, Metazoa, Chordata, Mammalia, Carnivora, Felidae. The transcript has 2 exons. The record is from RefSeq and is a predicted model, not a curated record.